GAGACAGCAGCAGCCGCGGUAAUACGUAGGGGGCAAGCGUUAUCCGGAAUUACUGGGUGUAAAGGGAGCGUAGACGGUUAAACAAGUCUGAAGUGAAAUGCCGGGGCUCAACCCCGGAGCUGCUUUGGGAACUGUAGAACUGGAGUGUCGGAGGGGUAAGCGGAAUUCCCAGUGUAGCGGUGAAAUGCGUAGAUAUUGGGAGGAACACCGGCGGCGAAGGCGGCUUACUGGACGACAACUGACGUUGAGGCUCGAAGGCGUGGGUAGCAAACAGGAUUAGAUACCCGAGUAGUCCCUGUCUCUUAUCC
RNAcentral lists this ribosomal RNA (308 nucleotides) under uncultured bacterium. RNAcentral describes it as "partial 16S ribosomal RNA". It matches the Rfam family "Bacterial small subunit ribosomal RNA", at positions 505 to 809 of the family's 1533-position model. The record is from RNAcentral.